GCCCGGGUGGCGUAAUCUGGUAGCCGCAGCUGACUUAAAAUCAGCCGGGAGAAAUCCCAUGUGGGUUCGACCCCCACCCCGGGCA
This 85-nucleotide transfer RNA is filed under the name bacterium. Its description in RNAcentral is "tRNA-Leu". It matches the Rfam family "tRNA". From Rfam's summary of the family: Transfer RNA (tRNA) molecules are approximately 80 nucleotides in length. Their secondary structure includes four short double-helical elements and three loops (D, anti-codon, and T loops). The record is from RNAcentral.